This 270-nucleotide ribosomal RNA is filed under the name uncultured archaeon. Its description in RNAcentral is "partial 16S ribosomal RNA". It matches the Rfam family "Archaeal small subunit ribosomal RNA", at positions 477 to 747 of the family's 1478-position model. The record is from RNAcentral.
CAGCACCUCAAGUGGUCAGGAUGAUUAUUGGGCCUAAAGCAUCCGUAGCCGGCGCUGCAAGUUUUCGGUUAAAUCUGUACGCUCAACGUACAGGCUGCCGGGAAUACUGCAGCGCUAGGGAGUGGGAGAGGUAGACGGUACUCGGUAGGAAGGGGUAAAAUCCUUUGAUCUAUUGAUGACCACCUGUGGCGAAGGCGGUCUACCAGAACACGUCCGACGGUGAGGGAUGAAAGCUGGGGGAGCAAACCGGAUUAGAGACCCGAGUAGUCC